UACGUAGGGUGCAAGCGUUGUCCGGAAUUAUUGGGCGUAAAGAGCUCGUAGGCGGUCUGUCACGUCGGACGUGAAAAUCCAGGGCUCAACCCUGGACCUGCGUUCGAUACGGGCAGACUAGAGUUCGGUAGGGGAGACGUAGGUGAAUUCCUGGUGUACGCGGUAGAAAUGCGCAGAUAUCAGGAGGAACACCGGUGGCGAAGGCGGGUCUCUGGGCCGAAACUGACGCUGAGGAGCGAAAGCGUGGGGAGCAAACAGG
This 259-nucleotide ribosomal RNA is filed under the name uncultured bacterium. RNAcentral's name for it is "partial 16S ribosomal RNA". It matches the Rfam family "Bacterial small subunit ribosomal RNA", at positions 524 to 776 of the family's 1533-position model. The record is from RNAcentral.